CCUACGGGAGGCAGCAGUAGGGAAUCUUCGGCAAUGGACGAAAGUCUGACCGAGCAACGCCGCGUGAGUGAAGAAGGUUUUCGGAUCGUAAAACUCUGUUGUUAGAGAAGAACAAGGACGUUAGUAACUGAACGUCCCCUGACGGUAUCUAACCAGAAAGCCACGGCUAACUACGUGCCAGCAGCCGCGGUAAUACGUAGGUGGCAAGCGUUGUCCGGAUUUAUUGGGCGUAAAGCGAGCGCAGGCGGUUUCUUAAGUCUGAUGUGAAAGCCCCCGGCUCAACCGGGGAGGGUCAUUGGAAACUGGGAGACUUGAGUGCAGAAGAGGAGAGUGGAAUUCCAUGUGUAGCGGUGAAAUGCGUAGAUAUAUGGAGGAACACCAGUGGCGAAGGCGGCUCUCUGGUCUGUAACUGACGCUGAGGCUCGAAAGCGUGGGGAGCAAACAGGAUUAGAUACCCUGGUAGUCCACGCCGUAAACGAUGAGUGCUAAGUGUUGGAGGGUUUCCGCCUUCAGUGCUGCAGCAAACGCAUUAAGCACUCCGCCUGGGGAGUACGAACCGCAAGGUUGAAACUUAAAGGAAUUGACGG
RNAcentral lists this ribosomal RNA (587 nucleotides) under uncultured bacterium. Its description in RNAcentral is "bacterial SSU rRNA". It matches the Rfam family "Bacterial small subunit ribosomal RNA", at positions 338 to 916 of the family's 1533-position model. The record is from RNAcentral.